Molecule: ribosomal RNA, 491 nt
Filed under: uncultured bacterium
Lineage: Bacteria
Description: partial 16S ribosomal RNA
Rfam family: Bacterial small subunit ribosomal RNA
Source: RNAcentral
AUUGAACGCUGGCGGCAUGCUUUACACAUGCAAGUCGAACGGUAACAGGCCUUCGGGUGCUGACGAGUGGCGAACGGGUGAGUAAUGCAUCGGAACGUGCCCAGAGGUGGGGGAUAACGCAGCGAAAGCUGUGCUAAUACCGCAUGUGAUCUGAGGAUGAAAGCGGGGGACCAGGCAGCAAUGUUUGGCCUCGCGCCUUUGGAGCGGCCGAUGUCAGCUUCGGUAGUUGGUGGGGUAAAGGCCUACCAAGCCGACGAUCUGUAGCUGGUCUGAGAGGACGACCAGCCACUGUGGGACGGAGACACGGCCCAGACCCCGAAGGGAGGCAGGAGUGGGAAAUUUUGGAGAAUGGGCGGAAGCCUGAUCCAGGAAUGCCGCGUGCGGGAAGAAGGCCUUCGGGUUGUAAACCGCUUUUGUACGGAAAGAAAAGGCUCUGGCUAAUACCUGGGGCUGAUGACGGUACCGUAAGAAUAAGCACCGGCUAACUACGU